AUGUGGUGGUGCUGGAGCUCCAGGAGCACAGAUCAGCAGAGGGCCCAGCCCAUGCAGAACAGCAGGAACAUCAGUUCCUCCUGUUUCCUUGUGAAAACUGGUGUGAUUCCUCUUGCUGAUGAAGUGGCAAACCCGUCUUCCAGGAUUCCAGCUGGCAUGGUAUUUAGAUGUCCAGUGAAAGCUAAGCUCAGCCUUUUGCCCCUUCCUAGAGAGCGUGGGAUAAACUGCCAGCUGGGUCUCCCUCUGCCCGCUGUAAAUCGAGCCCAGAGGAUGAGCCUGGCUUCAGCUGUUGUCAUCUGCCUUCACACACGCUUUGUGCUGCUUUCCCUGGUUCCAGAUGGCCAGAGAGAAGACAGACAGAUAUCACAGUGCAGGCACUAUGGAGCAGCCCCAGCAGCCUGGAGAAGAGACAAUCCAUUUUUCCCUUUCUGGGAUCAUCCUGUUGCAUGUUUCCUGACUAUGCAGGACGUGGUGGAGCUGAUAGACUGGCCCUUAUAUAAGUGAUUAUAUGGACGAGCCUGUCCAGCUGCUUAUCCCUGCAGCAUGGAGUGUGGCCCUGUGUGCUUCCAUCUUCCCACAGCUUCUUUCCAGGGCACACAAUGCAAACCCUCCAUUUCAGCCAUUCUGACUGGUGACAGGAUAGCCUCAAUGUUGUUUUCAGCUGCAAUGAUAUUAAAAAUAUUAAAAUAUUCACGUUGGAAGGUCAUCUCAUAGGACCCAAUGAAGACCUGCUCCCAAAUACUGUGGAGCAUGGAUACAGUCAGUUUUUGUCAUUUGGUGCCUGUGUCUCAUCACUCUCACAGCCAAGAAUUUCUUCCCAAUGUCUAAUCUGAACCUGGCCUCUGUCAGUUUCAAGCCAUUAUCCCUUGUCCUAUCACAACAUACCCUGUAAAAAGUCCCUCUCCAGCCUUCUUGUAGCCCUCUUUAGGCACUGUGAGGCUGCUGUCAUUGUAACCACUACUUCACUGGUUCCCAUUCUAAGUUUUCCUAAGGCUGUAGUAGAUUUUCGGGAAGUUGCAUCAUUUGAAAAGGUCACCUGAUGGAAGGUUCAAGUUGUAAAUGCAUAUUCAAAUCUGGAAGACUACUAAGUGCAAAGCAGACCCCUAGACCUGUAAGGGAAAUGUGAGUAGGAUGUACAUGAUUUCAAGCUGCAACAAAGAAAUCCAAUCCCUAUCAGCAUUAUGACUUGCCAUCCUUGAUAGUACUAUGAAUUUGGAAGCUGAAAGAAAAAUGGGGAACUUUGGAAGUCACUAGUAGCUAUUACGGGAAGUGGUAUAGCUGUAGUCAAAUAAAUGUGUCCCACUUCCAACA
RNAcentral lists this long non-coding RNA (1311 nucleotides) under Chloebia gouldiae (Gouldian finch). RNAcentral's name for it is "Erythrura gouldiae (Gouldian finch) lncRNA (ENSEGOG00005002978.1)". Lineage: Eukaryota; Metazoa; Chordata; Aves; Passeriformes; Passeridae. The record is from RNAcentral.